This 466-nucleotide long non-coding RNA is filed under the name Apteryx rowi (Okarito brown kiwi). Its description in RNAcentral is "lncRNA (ENSARWG00000013803.1)". Lineage: Eukaryota; Metazoa; Chordata; Aves; Apterygiformes; Apterygidae. The record is from RNAcentral.
GGACCCUGUCUUGGAGAGUAUGCAUGAGUAAUUAAAUAAUAUGGCCUUCUGUCACCCCUUUUUGGAGGGAGGGGUUAAAAGCUGUAUUUGCAGGCUGAGAGCAGGUGUCUGUGAUGAUCCUAUGCCAUGACAGGCAUGCGGCACAUUGCUGAUGAAAUGGCCACAGGAAGACAACAUGGAACCCUCCCAGCAUGAUCAGAAGAAGCCUAAUUAAGCUCUGUGGUUAAUUUUAAAAACCUAUUGUCAGAAGUAUAGCAAGGAACUUCGGUCUGGCUUUCGAAAGUGCUGAACACCCAAAACUCCUGCUGAGGUCUCCAGGAAUUACAGCACAGAACGAGCAACUCUUCAUUCUUCAAGGUCUACAGAUUCAUGUGCUUCUAAUAAAAUCUCUGUGUGCCCAUUCAAUUUACACUGGGAAUUAUAGUUGGUAUCUGUGAGCUGACCAGGACUAUCUUGUAAAACCAUG